This 810-nucleotide ribosomal RNA is filed under the name uncultured cyanobacterium. Its description in RNAcentral is "bacterial SSU rRNA". It matches the Rfam family "Bacterial small subunit ribosomal RNA", at positions 623 to 1436 of the family's 1533-position model. Lineage: Bacteria; Bacillati; Cyanobacteriota. The record is from RNAcentral.
GCGGUGGAAACUGAUGAACUAGAGGGUGGUAGGGGUCACGGGAAUCCCAGUGUAGCGGUGAAAUGCGUAGAUAUUGGGAAGAACACCAGCGGCGAAAGCGCGUGACUGGGCCAUUACUGACACUCAUGGACGAAAGCUAGGGGAGCGAAAGGGAUUAGAUACCCCUGUAGUCCUAGCCGUAAACGAUGGACACUAGGUGUUGCCCGAUCGACCCGGGCAGUGCCGUAGCUAACGCGUUAAGUGUCCCGCCUGGGGAGUACGCACGCAAGUGUGAAACUCAAAGGAAUUGACGGGGGCCCGCACAAGCGGUGGAGUAUGUGGUUUAAUUCGAUGCAACGCGAAGAACCUUACCAGGGCUUGACAUGUCGCGAAUCCCCUUGAAAGGGGGGAGUGCCUUCGGGAGCGCGAGCACAGGUGGUGCAUGGCUGUCGUCAGCUCGUGUCGUGAGAUGUUGGGUUAAGUCCCGCAACGAGCGCAACCCACGUUUCUAGUUGCCAGCAUUCAGUUGGGCACUUUAGAGAGACUGCCGGUGACAAACCGGAGGAAGGUGUGGAUGACGUCAAGUCAGCAUGCCCCUUACGUCCUGGGCUACACACGUACUACAAUGCUUCGGACAGAGGGUUGCCAGCCCGCGAGGGUGCGCUAAUCCCGUAAACCGAGGCUCAGUUCAGAUUGCAGGCUGCAACUCGCCUGCAUGAAGGCGGAAUCGCUAGUAAUCGCCGGUCAGCAUACGGCGGUGAUACGUUCCCGGGCCUUGUACACACCGCCCGUCACACCAUGGGAGUUGGCCACGCCCGAAGUUGUUACCCU